AAUACGGAGGGUGCGAGCGUUAAUCGGAAUUACUGGGCGUAAAGCGCAUGCAGGUGGUUUGUUAAGUCAGAUGUGAAAGCCCGGGGCUCAACCUCGGAACUGCAUUUGAAACUGGCAAACUAGAGUACUGUAGAGGGGGGUAGAAUUUCAGGUGUAGCGGUGAAAUGCGUAGAGAUCUGAAGGAAUACCAGUGGCGAAGGCGGCCCCCUGGACAGAUACUGACACUCAGAUGCGAAAGCGUGGGGAGCAAACAGGAUUAGAUACCCUGGUAGUCCACGCCGUAAACGAUGUCUACUUGGAGGUUGUGGCCUUGAGCCGUGGCUUUCGGAGCUAACGCGUUAAGUAGACCGCCUGGGGAGUACGGUCGCAAGAUUAAAACUCAAAUGAAUUGACGGGGGCCCGCACAAGCGGUGGAGCAUGUGGUUUAAUUCGAUGCAACACGAAGAACCUUACCUACUCUUGACAUCCAGAGAACUUAGCAGAGAUGCUUUGGUGCCUUCGGGAACUCUGAGACAGGUGCUGCAUGGCUGUCGUCAGCUCGUGUUGUGAAAUGUUGGGUUAAGUCCCGCAACGAGCGCAACCCUUAUCCUUGUUUGCCAGCGAGUAAUGUCGGGAACUCCAGGGAGACUGCCGGUGAUAAACCGGAGGAAGGUGGGGACGACGUCAAGUCAUCAUGGCCCUUACGAGUAGGGCUACACACGUGCUACAAUGGCGCAUACAGAGGGCGGCCAACUCGCGAGAGUGAGCGAAUCCCAAAAAGUGCGUCGUAGUCCGGAUUGGAGUCUGCAACUCGACUCCAUGAAGUCGGAAUCGCUAGUAAUCGUAGAUCAGAAUGCUACGGUGAAUACGUUCCCGGGCCUUGUACACACCGCCCGUCACACCAUGGGAGUGGGCUGCAAAAGAAGUGGGUAGUUUAACCUUCGGGAGGACGCUCACCACUUUGUGGUUCAUGACUGG
RNAcentral lists this ribosomal RNA (957 nucleotides) under uncultured bacterium. RNAcentral's name for it is "bacterial SSU rRNA". It matches the Rfam family "Bacterial small subunit ribosomal RNA", at positions 522 to 1478 of the family's 1533-position model. The record is from RNAcentral.